GACGAACGCUGGCGGCGUGCUUAACACAUGCAAGUCGAACGGAAAGGCCCUGCUUUUGUGGUGUGCUCGAGUGGCGAACGGGUGAGUAACACGUGAGUAACCUGCCCUUGACUUUGGGAUAACUUCAGGAAACUGGGGCUAAUACCGGAUAGGAGCUCCUGCUGCAUGGUGGGGGUUGGAAAGUUUCGGCGGUUGGGGAUGGACUCGCGGCUUAUCAGCUUGUUGGUGGGGUAGUGGCUUACCAAGGCUUUGACGGGUAGCCGGCCUGAGAGGGUGACCGGCCACAUUGGGACUGGGAUACGGCCCGGACUCCUACGGGAGGAAGCAGUGGGGAAUAUUGCACAAUGGGCGGAAGCCUGAUGCAGCAACGCCGCGUGCGGGAUGACGGCCUUCGGGUUGUAAACCGCUUUCGCCUGUGACGAAGCGUGAGUGACGGUAAUGGGUAAAGAAGCACCGGCUAACUACGUG
RNAcentral lists this ribosomal RNA (468 nucleotides) under uncultured bacterium. RNAcentral describes it as "partial 16S ribosomal RNA". It matches the Rfam family "Bacterial small subunit ribosomal RNA", at positions 28 to 507 of the family's 1533-position model. The record is from RNAcentral.